This is a non-coding RNA of Jatropha curcas, 114 nucleotides long. The record is from Rfam. NCBI's taxonomy places the organism in Eukaryota, Viridiplantae, Streptophyta, Magnoliopsida, Malpighiales, Euphorbiaceae.
AUAUGCAUUACUGGGCAAUUCUUGCUUUGGCAGUUGGCAAACUCACAGUGCUCUGUACUGCAUGCACAAAGAGUUCGGCUUACUGCCAAAGAAGAUUUGCCCCGCAAUUCAUAU